Molecule: ribosomal RNA, 461 nt
Filed under: uncultured Niabella sp.
Lineage: Bacteria; Pseudomonadati; Bacteroidota; Chitinophagia; Chitinophagales; Chitinophagaceae
Description: bacterial SSU rRNA
Rfam family: Bacterial small subunit ribosomal RNA
Source: RNAcentral
ACUCCUACGGGAGGCAGCAGUAAGGAAUAUUGGUCAAUGGACGAAAGUCUGAACCAGCCAUGCCGCGUGAAGGAUGACUGCCCUCUGGGUUGUAAACUUCUUUUAUAGGGGGCGAAAAAAGGGAAUUCUUUCCCGUCUGACGGUACCCUAUGAAUAAGCACCGGCUAACUCCGUGCCAGCAGCCGCGGUAAUACGGAGGGUGCAAGCGUUAUCCGGAUUCACUGGGUUUAAAGGGAGCGCAGGCGGACAUGUAAGUCAGUGGUGAAAUACCUGAGCUUAACUCGGGAACUGCCAUUGAUACUAUAGGUCUUGAAUGUUGUUGAGGUUUGCGGAAUGGGUCAUGUAGCGGUGAAAUGCAUAGAUAUGACCCGGAACACCUAUUGCGAAGGCAGCAGGCUAAACAAAUAUUGACGCUGAGGCUCGAAAGCGUGGGGAUCAAACAGGAUUAGAUACCCUGGUAG